UGGAGAGGUGUCCGAGUGGUCGAAGGAGGCGGUCUUGAAAACCGUUGAACCGCAAGGUUCCGUGGGUUCGAAUCCCACCUUCUCCGG
Molecule: transfer RNA, 87 nt
Filed under: subsurface metagenome
Description: tRNA-Ser
Rfam family: tRNA
About the family: Transfer RNA (tRNA) molecules are approximately 80 nucleotides in length. Their secondary structure includes four short double-helical elements and three loops (D, anti-codon, and T loops). Further hydrogen bonds mediate the characteristic L-shaped molecular structure. tRNAs have two regions of fundamental functional importance: the anti-codon, which is responsible for specific mRNA codon recognition, and the 3' end, to which the tRNAs corresponding amino acid is attached (by aminoacyl-tRNA synthetases). tRNAs cope with the degeneracy of the genetic code in two manners: having more than one tRNA (with a specific anti-codon) for a particular amino acid; and 'wobble' base-pairing, i.e. permitting non-standard base-pairing at the 3rd anti-codon position.
Source: RNAcentral